Molecule: ribosomal RNA, 432 nt
Filed under: Afrixalus fornasini (leaf-folding frog)
Lineage: Eukaryota; Metazoa; Chordata; Amphibia; Anura; Hyperoliidae
Description: partial large subunit ribosomal RNA
Rfam family: Bacterial large subunit ribosomal RNA
Source: RNAcentral
CUCCUUCCUCCAAUCAAUGAAAUUGAUCUUCUCGUGAAGAAGCGAGAAUAUUAUUAUUAGACGAGAAGACCCCAUGGAGCUUUAAACUUAUUACCAAUUACUUAACCGCUAAACCAUAAUAUGUAGUAAAAAUGUUCUUAAUAGUUUUCGGCUGGGGUGGCCCUGGAGUAAAAUAAACCCUCCAGAAUGAACGGAAUAAGACCCUAAUCUAAGAAUUACAGCUCAAAGAAUCAAAAAACUGACAUUAUUGAUCCAAUUAAUUGAUUAACGAAACAAGUUACCCUGGGGAUAACAGCGCAAUCCAUUUUGAGAGCCCCUAUCAACAAAUGGGUUUACGACCUCGAUGUUGGAUCGGGGUAUCCCGGUGGCGCAGCCGCUACUAAUGGUUCGUUUGUUCAACGAUUAACAACCCCACGUGAUCUGAGUUCAAAC